CAGUCGCCGCGGGAACACGGAGGGAGCUAGCGUUGUUCGGAAUUACUGGGCGUAAAGCGCACGUAGGCGGCUUUGUAAGUCAGAGGUGAAAGCCUGGAGCUCAACUCCAGAACUGCCUUUGAGACUGCAUCGCUUGAAUCCAGGAGAGGUGAGUGGAAUUCCGAGUGUAGAGGUGAAAUUCGUAGAUAUUCGGAAGAACACCAGUGGCGAAGGCGGCUCACUGGACUGGUAUUGACGCUGAGGUGCGAAAGCGUGGGGAGCAAACAGGAUUAGAUACCCCAGUAGUCCCUGUCUCUUAUAC
RNAcentral lists this ribosomal RNA (301 nucleotides) under uncultured bacterium. Its description in RNAcentral is "partial 16S ribosomal RNA". It matches the Rfam family "Bacterial small subunit ribosomal RNA", at positions 509 to 807 of the family's 1533-position model. The record is from RNAcentral.